Molecule: ribosomal RNA, 406 nt
Filed under: uncultured bacterium
Lineage: Bacteria
Description: partial 16S ribosomal RNA
Rfam family: Bacterial small subunit ribosomal RNA
Source: RNAcentral
AUUGAACGCUGGCGGCCGGCUUAACACAUGCAAGUCGAGCGAGCGGCGGACGGGUGAGUAAUGUCUGGGAAACUGCCUGAUGGAGGGGGAUAACUACUGGAAACGGUAGCUAAUACCGCAUACCAUCAGAUGUGCCCAGAUGGGAUUAGCUAGUCGGUGGGGUAAUGGCUCACCUAGGCGACGAUCACUAGCUGGUCUGAGAGGAGGACCAGCCAAACUGAAACGGAGACACGGUCCAGACGCCUACGGGAGGCAGCAGUGGGGAAUAUUGGACAAUGGGCGCAAGCCUGAUGCAGCCAUGCCGCGUGUGUGAAGAAGGCCUUCGGGUGGUAAAGCACUUGCAGCGAGGAGGCGUUAUUCGCAGAAGAAGCACCGGCUAACUCCGUGCCAGCAGCCGCGGUAAUAC